This 253-nucleotide ribosomal RNA is filed under the name uncultured bacterium. RNAcentral describes it as "partial 16S ribosomal RNA". It matches the Rfam family "Bacterial small subunit ribosomal RNA", at positions 524 to 776 of the family's 1533-position model. The record is from RNAcentral.
UACGUAGGGUGCAGGCGUUAAUCGGAAUUACUGGGCGUAAAGCGUGCGCAGGCGGUCUAUUAAGUCAGGUGUGAAAUCCCCGGGCUUAACCUGGGAACUGCGCUUGAUACUGAUAGGCUUGAGUGUGGCAGAGGGGGGUGGAAUUCCACGUGUAGCAGUGAAAUGCGUAGAGAUGUGGAGGAACACCGAUGGCGAAGGCAGCCCCCUGGGCUAACACUGACGCUCAUGCACGAAAGCGUGGGGAGCAAACAGG